GACGAACGCUGGCGGCGUGCUUAACACAUGCAAGUCGAACGGAAAGGCCCUGCUUUUGUGGGGUGCUCGAGUGGCGAACGGGUGAGUAACACGUGAGUAACCUGCCCUUGACUUUGGGAUAACUUCAGGAAACUGGGGCUAAUACCGGAUAGGAGCUCCUGCUGCAUGGUGGGGGUUGGAAAGUUUCGGCGGUUGGGGAUGGACUCGCGGCUUAUCAGCUUGUUGGUGGGGUAGUGGCUUACCAAGGCUUUGACGGGUAGCCGGCCUGAGAGGGGGACCGGCCACAUUGGGACUGAGAUACGGCCCAGACUCCUACGGGAGGCAGCAGUGGGGAAUAUUGCACAAUGGGCGGAAGCCUGAUGCAGCAACGCCGCGUGCGGGAUGACGGCCUUCGGGUGGUAAACCGCUUUCGCCUGUGACGAAGCGUGAGUGACGGUAAUGGGUAAAGAAGCACCGGCUAACUACGUG
This 468-nucleotide ribosomal RNA is filed under the name uncultured bacterium. RNAcentral describes it as "partial 16S ribosomal RNA". It matches the Rfam family "Bacterial small subunit ribosomal RNA", at positions 28 to 507 of the family's 1533-position model. The record is from RNAcentral.